This 705-nucleotide long non-coding RNA is filed under the name Rattus norvegicus (Norway rat). RNAcentral's name for it is "long non-coding RNA NONRATT020765". The record is from RNAcentral. Lineage: Eukaryota; Metazoa; Chordata; Mammalia; Rodentia; Muridae.
UUUUUUUUUUUUUUUUUUAGCUCUCAUUUCUACGGCAUGCUUUCCAAGGAACCAAAGGAGGGUCUCAGAGAUGCCCCAAACAUCCCAAAGUACACAAAGCUAAGUAAUCGAUUGCUUACUUACUGCACAGCUAGACACGGAUUUUAAGUCUAUCUUAAAGCUUUGAAGCAAGCUUAGCUUCUCAAAGGCCUAGCAGAGCCUUGGCACCCCAGGAUCCUUUCUGUAGGCUAAUUCCUCUUAUCCAGCGGCAUAUGGAGUAUCCUUAUUGCUAAAGAGGAUUCUGGCUCCUUUAAGGAAGUUUGAUUUCUGAUUCAGAGUCCUUGUUUCCCUGACUUGCUCUGCCAGCCCUGCACCAGCUUUUUCGAAGUGCACUAUGCUUGUGUUUAACUUCUCCCAGUUUUAUUUGGGCAUAAAAGUUGUUGCCUUUAUUUGUAAAGCUGUUAUAAAUAUAUAUUAUAUAAAUAUAUGACAAAGGAAAAUGUUUCAGAUGUCUAUUUGUAUAAUUACUUGAUCUACACAGUGAGGAAAAAAAUGAAUGUAUUUCUGUUUUUGAAGAGAAUAAUUUUUUUUCUCUAGGGAGAGGAGAGGUUACAGUGUUUAUAUUUUGGAGCCUUCCUGAAGGUGUGAAAUUGUAAAUAUUUUUAUCUAAGUAAAUGUUAAGUAGUUGUUUUAAAAAGACUUAAUAAAAUAAGCUUUUUCCUGUGG